RNAcentral lists this ribosomal RNA (302 nucleotides) under uncultured bacterium. RNAcentral's name for it is "bacterial SSU rRNA". It matches the Rfam family "Bacterial small subunit ribosomal RNA", at positions 30 to 334 of the family's 1533-position model. The record is from RNAcentral.
AUUGAACGCUGGCGGCAUGCUUUACACAUGCAAGUCGAACGGCAGCGCGGGGCAACCUGGCGGCGAGUGGCGAACGGGUGAGUAAUACAUCGGAACGUACCCAGAAGUGGGGGAUAACGUAGCGAAAGUUACGCUAAUACCGCAUACGAUCUACGGGUGAAAGUGGGGGACCUUCGGGCCUCAUGCUUUUGGAGCGGCCGAUGUCUGAUUAGCUAGUUGGUAGGGUAAAGGCCUACCAAGGCGACGAUCAGUAGCUGGUCUGAGAGGACGACCAGCCACACUGGGACUGAGACACGGCCCAG